GUGGGGAAUAUUGGACAAUGGGCGAAAGCCUGAUCCAGCCAUGCCGCGUGUGUGAAGAAGGUCUUCGGAUUGUAAAGCACUUUAAGUUGGGAGGAAGGGCAGUAAGUUAAUACCUUGCUGUUUUGACGUUACCAACAGAAUAAGCACCGGCUAACUCUGUGCCAGCAGCCGCGGUAAUACAGAGGGUGCAAGCGUUAAUCGGAUUUACUGGGCGUAACGCGCGCGUAGGUGGUUUUGUAAGUUGGAGGUGAAAUCCCCGGGCUCAACCUGGGAACUGCCUCCAAAACUGCAUGACUAGAGUACGGUAGAGGGUAGUGGAAUUUCCUGUGUAGCGGUGAAAUGCGUAGAUAUAGGAAGGAACACCAGUGGCGAAGGCGACUACCUGGACUGAUACUGACACUGAGGUGCGAAAGCGUGGGGAGCAAACAGGAUUAGAAACCCUUGUAGUCC
RNAcentral lists this ribosomal RNA (450 nucleotides) under uncultured bacterium. RNAcentral describes it as "partial 16S ribosomal RNA". It matches the Rfam family "Bacterial small subunit ribosomal RNA", at positions 354 to 796 of the family's 1533-position model. The record is from RNAcentral.